AUUGAACGCUGGCGGCAUGCCUAACACAUGCAAGUCGAACGGCAGCACGGUCCAGUUUACUGGAUGGGUGGCGAGUGGCGGACGGGUGAGUAACGCGUAGGAAUAUGCCUUAAAGAGGGGGAUAACUUGGGGAAACUCAAGCUAAUACCGCAUAAUCUCUUAGGAGAAAAGCUGGGGACCUUUGGGCCUGGCGCUUUAAGAUUAGCCUGCGUACGAUUAGCUAGUUGGUGGGGUAAGGGCCUACCAAGGCGACGAUCGUUAGCUGGUCUGAGAGGAGGGCCAGCCACACUGGAACUGAGACACGGUCCAGACUCCUACGGGAGGCAGCAGUGGGGAAUAUUGGACAAUGGGGGGAACCCUGAUCCAGCAAUGCCGCGUGUGUGAAGAAGGCCUGAGGGUUGUAAAGCACUUUCAGUGGGGAGGAGGAUUGACAGGUUAAGAGCUAGUUAAUUGGACGUUACCCACAGAAGAAGCACCGGCUAACUCCGUGCCAGCCGCCGCCGUAA
RNAcentral lists this ribosomal RNA (506 nucleotides) under uncultured bacterium. RNAcentral's name for it is "partial 16S ribosomal RNA". It matches the Rfam family "Bacterial small subunit ribosomal RNA", at positions 30 to 523 of the family's 1533-position model. The record is from RNAcentral.